UUAGAAAAGAAUAGCACAAACAAGUAUAAUAUUUGGAUGAUGGCCGAGAUAAAUAUAUUUUCAAAUGGCAAAUCCUUUUGUUUGAUCCUGAUUUAAGAAAACUAUAUGCUCGUGACAAAAGUUGCUUCAGGGAUUAGGUUUUUAUUCUCAAAACAUACUAUUUCAUUAUACUUUUGGUUUAUAAUGUUUGUAUCAAAUUCACAAUGCUUUGCUACAGUGACUUGCAUGAAGAACAAAUAUGUAUAUACUAUAGAUAAAGAUGUACAGACAUAGAAACAUUGACGAGUGCUUUUAUAAUUUAUGUUUAAUUGGGCAUGUACUGUUUGGUUGCUAGCGCGCAUCUUGUGUAUAAAUUUCUUCCUGUAUAUAUAUUUCAACAAGUUAUAAUUUUGCAUAUCCUUGCAUUCAACCUGAACAAUUUAGCCUUCAGGUCAUUUCAGGGCUCCUGCUGGUGCCAUUGACUCUUGUGCUGACCAUCGUUGUGUUUUGGCAUGUUUAUCUUAUUCUGCAAAACAAGACCACAAUAGAGUACCAUGAAGGUGUGAGAGCUAUGUGGCUUGCUGAAAAAGGAGGUUAUCUGUAUUCACAUCCAUAUGAUCUUGGUGCUUAUGAGAAUAUGAUAUCAGUUUUAGGACCACAUAUCUUUUGCUGGGUAUGUCCCACCUCAGAGCAGAUUGGUUCUGGCCUUCGUUUUCGCGCGGGAGUUGAUAAGUUAGCAGGGAUAUCAUUUUAGACAUGUAGAGCUUGGAGUUUCAAUGAUUUUGUACUGCUGGUAGUAUUGGAGGCAAGGCAACAUGUCCUAUAUCAUUCAUUGAUGAUAAUCAAAUUCUGGUGUCCGCGUGCUUUCUUUUUGGAAAUACAACCAUUAAAAAAGAGUUUGUCUUGUGUAGCUCCUCCUUACAUCCAUGUUGUUGCAGAAGUAGUUCAAAGUUGACUGGGCUUCUGAAGCAGUCAGAUGUAAAAUAGGACCCUCCUUCUUAUGACUUUUUUUUUUCCAAAAGUACAGUCCUCAUGCAAUCAUGUACAAAUGACAGAGUUCUAGGCUAACUCACAGCAACUUCAAGUAGAAGAGAUAGGCCAAAAAUUGUAACUUAAAGAUGUUGUAAUAUUGUGAUUCUCAGGAA
Coffea eugenioides is the source of this 1124-nucleotide long non-coding RNA. RefSeq lists it as uncharacterized. The transcript has 3 exons. The record is from RefSeq and is a predicted model, not a curated record. Lineage: Eukaryota; Viridiplantae; Streptophyta; Magnoliopsida; Gentianales; Rubiaceae.